Molecule: unclassified non-coding RNA, 336 nt
Filed under: soil metagenome
Description: partial contains 5.8S ribosomal RNA, internal transcribed spacer 2, and large subunit ribosomal RNA
Rfam family: 5.8S ribosomal RNA (bases 1-120)
Source: RNAcentral
GAUGAAGAACGCAGCGAAAUGCGAUAAGUAAUGUGAAUUGGAGAAUUCAGUGAAUCAUCGAAUCUUUGAACGCACAUUGCGCCCGCCAGUAUUCUGGCGGGCAUGCCUGUUCGAGCGUCAUUUCAACCAUCAAGCCCCAGGCUUGUGUUGGGGACCUGCGGCUGCCGCAGGCCCUGAAAACCAGUGGCGGGCUCGCUGUCACACCGGGCGUAGUAGAUUUUAUCUCGCUCAGGGCGUGCUGCGGGUUCCGGCCGUUAAAAAGCCUUUUUUACCCAAGGUUGACCUCGGAUCAGGUAGGAAGACCCGCUGAACUUAAGCAUAUCAAUAAGCGGAGGA